RNAcentral lists this ribosomal RNA (343 nucleotides) under uncultured Desulfovibrio sp. RNAcentral describes it as "bacterial SSU rRNA". It matches the Rfam family "Bacterial small subunit ribosomal RNA", at positions 1039 to 1382 of the family's 1533-position model. Lineage: Bacteria; Pseudomonadati; Thermodesulfobacteriota; Desulfovibrionia; Desulfovibrionales; Desulfovibrionaceae. The record is from RNAcentral.
UGCUGCAUGGCUGUCGUCAGCUCGUGCCGUGAGGUGUUGGGUUAAGUCCCGCAACGAGCGCAACCCUAUUGCCAGUUGCUACCAGGUAAUGCUGGGCACUCUGGUGAGACUGCCCCGGUUAACGGGGAGGAAGGUGGGGACGACGUCAAGUCAUCAUGGCCCUUACGCCUAGGGCUACACACGUACUACAAUGGCGCAUACAAAGGGCAGCGAUACCGCGAGGUGGAGCCAAUCCCAAAAAGUGCGUCCCAGUCCGGAUUGCAGUCUGCAACUCGACUGCAUGAAGUUGGAAUCGCUAGUAAUUCGAGAUCAGCAUGCUCGGGUGAAUGCGUUCCCGGGCCUU